RNAcentral lists this ribosomal RNA (315 nucleotides) under Triticum aestivum (bread wheat). Its description in RNAcentral is "partial small subunit ribosomal RNA". The record is from RNAcentral. Lineage: Eukaryota; Viridiplantae; Streptophyta; Magnoliopsida; Poales; Poaceae.
AUGCUUGUUCAUGUCCAUUUCGCGGUUGGGUUUUGCUUGGUUACUUGUAUCUUGUUCUUGCUUCUAUGCUUGUUCAUCCUCAUGGUGGCCGGGCAGCCGCUGCAAAGAGCUGACAGCCUUGUGGAGAUUGCCGGCCCGCUGGGCUACAGAGCACAAGCUCGAUCGGGCUGUGUCUGUGUGCACGUACACUCAGAGCCGCAGAUUGUCGGGAGCUCCAAUGUGACGCUUUUUCCGUCAAAGAGUCGACGUGCCGCACAGGGGCGCUCACUUGGGCCGGCCCGUUUGUCGACCGCGAGGAGAAAAACAGCGGAAUAG